This 320-nucleotide ribosomal RNA is filed under the name uncultured eukaryote. Its description in RNAcentral is "partial 18S ribosomal RNA". It matches the Rfam family "Eukaryotic small subunit ribosomal RNA", at positions 1470 to 1796 of the family's 1831-position model. The record is from RNAcentral.
CCCCUAGAUGUUCUGGGCCGCACGCGCGCUACACUGAACAGUUCAACAAGUCUUAACCUUGGCCGAUAGGUCUGGGUAAACUUUGAACGCUGUUCGUGAUUGGGAUAGACCUUUGCAAUUAUGGGUCUUCAACGAGGAAUUCCUAGUAAACGCAAGUCAUCAGCUUGCAUUGAUUACGUCCCUGCCCUUUGUACACACCGCCCGUCGCACCUACCGAUUGAAUGGUCCGGUGAAAUCUCGGGACGGCGGCUUGGUCGCUUGCGUCCGACUGCUGAAACUUGAUUAAACCAUAUCAUUUAGAGGAAGGUGAANUCGUAACA